This 47-nucleotide transfer RNA is filed under the name Tetranychus malaysiensis. RNAcentral describes it as "tRNA-Gln". The record is from RNAcentral. Lineage: Eukaryota; Metazoa; Arthropoda; Arachnida; Trombidiformes; Tetranychidae.
GUUUAAAUAUAAAAAGUUUUUGAAACUUUAAGUUUAUUUUUCAAAAA